This 253-nucleotide ribosomal RNA is filed under the name uncultured bacterium. RNAcentral describes it as "partial 16S ribosomal RNA". It matches the Rfam family "Bacterial small subunit ribosomal RNA", at positions 524 to 776 of the family's 1533-position model. The record is from RNAcentral.
UACGAAGGGGGCUAGCGUUGUCCGGAAUCACUGGGCGUAAAGCGCACGUAGGCGGUUUGUCAAGUUGGGGGUGUAAGCUCUGGGCCUAACCCAGAAAUUGCCUCCAAAACUAGCAUACUUGAGUAUUAGAGGGGAAGCUGGAAUUCACGGUGUAGCGGUGAAAUGCGUAGAUAUCGUGGAGAACACCCGUGGCGAAGGCGGGCUUCUGGCUAAUUACUGACGCUGAGGUGCGAAAGCUAGGGGAGCGAACGGG